GUUUGCAGACACGGAGUGCUACUCAAAGCUCUUAAUGUGCCGGGGAGUAAUAUUUUCUUAUCCACCUAUACCUGCAGAAGGAGCUUCAAGCAGCCACAAACGGAGAGUUCUUUUGAACAGAUAUUGCUUGCAAGUAUUGGCCAUACCUUGAGAAGGUGUCAGUCUCCAUGUUGGAACUCAGACCUUUACUGCAGAUGAGACCUUUCCUUUCUGUCAUGCAUGCCAAGGCUCAUUCAACCAAGUGUCAGGUGUCACACAUUUGUUAGAUAAUCUGACAAAAAUCAGGAAGGUGCUGGUACAACUGCAGUUGUGGAGGUCGAAAUGGUCAACAGCAACCUGUCUCGUUGUGGCCUCACAACCAAGUAUCUGCCAGGAAUGACAUGCUAACUGUCCAUGCUAUUGGGUGGAACCAACGGAAGCAAGAAGGCCUUCAGCAUUAUCCAGCAGAUACAUCAAG
Paramisgurnus dabryanus is the source of this 457-nucleotide non-coding RNA. NCBI's taxonomy places the organism in Eukaryota, Metazoa, Chordata, Actinopteri, Cypriniformes, Cobitidae. The record is from RefSeq and is a predicted model, not a curated record.